ACAAGCUGACGAGUCCCGAAUAGGACGAAACGCGCGUCCUGGAU
RNAcentral lists this non-coding RNA (44 nucleotides) under Schistosoma mansoni. Lineage: Eukaryota; Metazoa; Platyhelminthes; Trematoda; Strigeidida; Schistosomatidae. The record is from RNAcentral.